CAGUCGCCACGGGAAUACGAAGGGGGCUAGCGUUGCUCGGAAUGACUGGGCGUAAAGGGCGCGUAGGCGGCGAUCAAAGUCAGGCGUGAAAUUCCUGGGCUCAACCUGGGGGCUGCGCUUGAUACUUGGUUGCUUGAGUGGGGAAGAGGGUCGUGGAAUUCCCAGUGUAGAGGUGAAAUUCGUAGAUAUUGGGAAGAACACCGGUGGCGAAGGCGGCGACCUGGUUCAUGACUGACGCUGAGGCGCGAAAGCGUGGGGAGCAAACAGGAUUAGAUACCCGCGUAGUCCCUGUCUCUUAUAC
This 301-nucleotide ribosomal RNA is filed under the name uncultured bacterium. Its description in RNAcentral is "partial 16S ribosomal RNA". It matches the Rfam family "Bacterial small subunit ribosomal RNA", at positions 509 to 807 of the family's 1533-position model. The record is from RNAcentral.